CAUGCAUGUCUAAGUACAAACUAUUUUAAAAGUGAAACCGCAAAAGGCUCAUUAUAUCAGUUAUGGUUUAUUAGAUCAUUAAUCAGUUACUUGGAUAACUGUGGUAAUUCUAGAGCUAAUACAUGCAAUAUAAACAUGAACCUUUAAUGGAACAUGUGCUUUUAUUAGUAUAAAACCAAGCGAUUUUUUUUAUUAAAAAUCGUUCAUAAUUGGUUGAACUCUAAAUAAUUUGCCAAUCGUAUGGUCUUGUACCGACGAUAGAUCUUUUAAAUGUCUGCCCUAUCAACUAUUGAUGGUAGUAUUUAGGACUACCAUGGUUGCAACGGGUAACGGGGAAUCAGGGUUCGAUUCCGGAGAGGGAGCCUGAGAAACAGCUACCACAUCUAAGGAAGGCA
This 395-nucleotide ribosomal RNA is filed under the name Stipomorpha guianica. RNAcentral describes it as "bacterial SSU rRNA". It matches the Rfam family "Eukaryotic small subunit ribosomal RNA", at positions 50 to 427 of the family's 1831-position model. The record is from RNAcentral. Lineage: Eukaryota; Metazoa; Arthropoda; Insecta; Diptera; Syrphidae.